GGAGAGUACAGCUCAGGGGUGGAGCAAGUGCUUAGCAUGCACAAGGUCCUGGGUUCGACCCCCAGUACCUCCA
This is a non-coding RNA of Camelus ferus (Wild Bactrian camel), 73 nucleotides long. The record is from Rfam. Lineage: Eukaryota; Metazoa; Chordata; Mammalia; Artiodactyla; Camelidae.